AAUCUUGCACACUGCGCGAAAGCGUGAUGCAGCAAUGCCGCGUGUGGGAAGAAGGGCUUCGGCUCGUAAACCACUUUCAGUUGGGACGAAGCUCUCGCGGUGAAUAGCCGUGUGGAGUGACGGUACCUUCACAAGAAGCCCCGGCUAACUACGUGCCAGCAGCCGCGGUAAUACGUAGGGGGCAAGCGUUGUCCGGAAUCAUUGGGCGUAAAGAGCGUGUAGGCGGUUCGAUAAGUCUGUUGUGAAAGUCCAAGGCUCAACCUUGGGAUGCCGAUGGAUACUGUCGAACUCGAGUCCGGAAGAGGAGUGUGGAAUUCCUGGUGUAGCGGUGAAAUGCGCAGAUAUCAGGAGGAACACCGAUGGCGAAGGCAGCACUCUGGGACGUGACUGACGCUGAGACGCGAAAGCGUGGGGAGCAAAC
Molecule: ribosomal RNA, 421 nt
Filed under: uncultured bacterium
Lineage: Bacteria
Description: bacterial SSU rRNA
Rfam family: Bacterial small subunit ribosomal RNA
Source: RNAcentral